GACAGAGGGUGCAAGCGUUGUUCGGAAUUACUGGGCGUAAAGCGCGUGUAGGCGGCAGGGUGUGUCGGAUGUGAAAUCCCGUGGCUCAACCACGGAAGUGCACCCGAAACUACCCAGCUCGAGUCUCGGAGAGGAAGGUGGAAUGCUUGGUGUAGAGGUGAAAUUCGUAGAUAUCAAGCGGAACACCGGUGGCGAAGGCGGCCUUCUGGACGAUGACUGACGCUGAGACGCGAAAGCGUGGGGAGCAAACAGG
RNAcentral lists this ribosomal RNA (253 nucleotides) under uncultured bacterium. Its description in RNAcentral is "partial 16S ribosomal RNA". It matches the Rfam family "Bacterial small subunit ribosomal RNA", at positions 524 to 776 of the family's 1533-position model. The record is from RNAcentral.